RNAcentral lists this long non-coding RNA (1332 nucleotides) under Capra hircus (goat). RNAcentral's name for it is "lncRNA (ENSCHIG00010000164.1)". The record is from RNAcentral. Lineage: Eukaryota; Metazoa; Chordata; Mammalia; Artiodactyla; Bovidae.
ACAACUGACUCACUUUCACUUCCACUUUCUCAUUGUAAGGACGGAGCCUCACGAACGGGAUCAGUGCUCUUAUGAAAGAGACCGCGGAGAGCCCCUGGACUCUUCCAGCGUCUAAGGACGCAGGGAAAGAGUGCUGACUGGACGAGGCGCAGGGCCCUCUUCAGAGCUGGAUGGUGGUGAUGCCGUGCUCUUGGACUCCCAGCCUCCAGUGCGAAAUGCAUGCCUGCUGUUUAUAAGCCACCUAGUUUGUGGGUGUGUCACAGAAGUCCAGUGGACCAAGGGCGGGAUGCUGAGCCCGGCGUUCCUCCGAGGCUGCGGAGCCGCCCUGACGCUCUUAGCUGUGCCCCUUCCCCCCGGGCUGUCCCCCCACCCUCCAGUGGUGUCUGCUGGGCCCUGCCCCUCAGGAUCCCACCUGGUCCUGCCCUUCCAGCCGGAAGCCUGGGGCUGCCUGCAGGAGGGAGGAUGCAACACUGCCAAGCCUGGCCUUGUAGACAACGUGGAGCCCCCGGCAAGGUGCCUGGUCCUGGGGUGAGGAAGGGGAGGAGGGGGCCAGACCUGCAGAGAGUCACAGAUGGAAGGUGUGCUUCCUAGGAGCAAAGAAAGCUGACAGAGGCUCGGGAUGGUGACCCAGAGGGAAGGUGAAAACGGUGACUUUGAAUCCUUCACUUUACUUCUGUGUUCAUCUGUAAAAUGGAGAAAACAAUAGCUCCCCCUCACUUAACCUCUGAGUUGCAACAAGUAAAUGUGGGUAAAACGCUGGGCCAGGCCCUGAACAAAGGGCCCAGCAAAUGCUUGCUGCUCUUUGUCAGCGUUCUUCCUUAUGUAUUGGUGACGUUUCUGGGGAGGGACAGCAAGUGCAGGAGACGCAGAAGGGGCCCUGAAGGCGCCUCACCUUCAGCUGGGAGCAGGGGCGGAGGGGGCCCAGCUAGGCUGUGGGGGAGCUUCCAGCCCUGUUCCUGUCCCGGGGUCCUCUCCCCCCAGUCCUGUUGCACCGGGGACAGUGACACAGCAGAGGAUGAGAACCCGGGGAACUUGGAGUGCUGAGCCUCCCCGGCACCAUUUGCGCCGGACUCCAGCGGCAGCUUUUUAUCCAGGACUGGAUGAUCAAAAUCCGUGAGGCUGGGGCCAGGCAGGACUCUUACCUGCUUCCCCUGAGCGGCGGGAGUAGCCAAGAGGUAAGAGAGGUCUUACCUCCUCGAGGAAUCCUGCCCUUUUCUUGCAAUGAGUUCCUCCUUCUAACUAGCCCCCGUCGCUGUGGUGGGUGCAAACUGUGUCCUUUAAUUUGGGCCUUGAUCGUGCUUAGUCGUGUGGUCGUGUCUGACUCUUUGCAGC